AUGGCUAAUCUCCAUGUGGAA
This 21-nucleotide transfer RNA is filed under the name Geomys personatus (South Texas pocket gopher). RNAcentral's name for it is "partial tRNA-Glu". Lineage: Eukaryota; Metazoa; Chordata; Mammalia; Rodentia; Geomyidae. The record is from RNAcentral.